GCCAUCAGCCUCAUUCCCCUCCUGUGUGCUCUGCAGCCUUCAUUUGGGGCUGGCAGGGAAGGGGUUCAGGUGCUGCUCUUCAGCAGAAGCCUGAGCUGUGUGCCCUGAGGAGUGCCAGGGCAGGGACAGCUGGCCUGGCUGAAGGGAUUCCCUCACAUAUUUAAUUAAUUUGCUCCAGCAAACUUGCUUGACUGACCCCAGUCUGUGUGGAGGUUGGAGUUGUGCAGGUUUAGGGAGACCACAUCUCAGGCAAUUAAACCAAAGAAGGGAAAGAAACAAAUACUGAUGAAACAGCACAAUAGAUCUCGGAUAAGUUAGGAUACCUUAAUAGAAAGAUUUAUACAAAAAUGUGCCCAGAUUUCUGUAUUUGAGGAAGGAGGCUGAUGGCACCUGGCUGUUUGUUCCUGCAAGCAGAGAGCACAUUUUCAGCAGUAUCCUGGAAUCACAGAGCUUUAUAAGAACAUGAAUGCUGUGACCCAUUUUAAUGAGGAUUGUGUUUCAAGUGCUAUCUAUCUGGAUUUUUGGCAUGGAGUCAGCAGGAGCACAAGAAGGGCCAACAUUUUUUGUUGAGGUGUUUUGAGCACCAUAAAUAAUUCAGAACUUUAUUUCUAUGUUGCUCAUGCACAGUCAUCACUUGGGAACCACUAAAAAUAAUAGUGAGGGUGAUGAUUAGCUUCUGGCAUGACUGCAUGAAUUGUGAUGAGGUUUGACUGGGUUCUAGAUGCCAGCAAAUGUUUACAAAUGCAGCCCUUGAACUGUGUUUUCUCCAUGUGGUUAUUUUCCAGUAUAUCCUGAACUCCUGCCCACAUAAUGGCUGUAUUGUCUUUGAAGGAUGGAAUUCUGCCCUGCUGGGCUGUGGCUGCAGUGAGACAAGCACAGGGCUGUUCUGCACCCUGCGACUUCUGCCUGAUUGUUGUUACAUUGGUUCAGAAAAAUUAGGGUUUUUAACAGACAGUCCUAUGGGAUGUGUCUGUGCUUGGAUGAAACACCCAUGUGAAGGAUUGGGAAGAGAUGCACAAUUCAUGUCUGCAGCACUUUGAAAGGUGUUUGUCAGGGUAAACUGAACCCAGGUUGGGAUGUCCUGCCCUGGAUGAGAGCAGGGCCACUGCUGUUUAAUGAUGAGUGCUGAUUCCCUUAGCACAGGGAGCUGGUGUGGCUGCCCAGGGAUGGGAUAGCACAGCCUCUGGGCAUUGCCCAGGAGCUCUCAUUUUUCCCCAUGGAAGUGUUGCUUUUCCAUCUCAGACCAUGUUUGGUUUUAGUGUGUUAGCCAUGGAAAACCGUAGUUUGUUUUUAGUGGGUUAGCCAUGGCAAACCAUAAUUUGGUUUUAGUUGGUUGGCCACGGAAGACCAUAGUUCUCAGGAGAGCUUUAAUGCAAGAGAAAAGCCUUUGGGGGGGCAAGCUAACUCUGUGAGGACUGUAAAACCUGCAUGUGUUUGGUAACUAACCUCAGCACACAGUCUGGGGGAGGCCUGUGGAAGGAAAUUGAGAAAUGCCUUGCAGAUGGCAAACUUCAGCCAAGCCAGUUCCCAAAACCAGGCUGCUACAGAAUGAAGCCCUCAAGGUCAUGUCAAAGACAUAUGAAACUGCAUGGGAAUAAACCCAAACUACAGUCUGAAAGGUGGUGAGAAAGCUCCAGCUGUGUAAGAAACCCAAGAUGAUGUGAUACUUUCCAUGAAGAAGAAAAGCCAUGUUAGUGAGAGCAAAGCUUUCAAAAUAAUCUCUUCCUCUGUGCCUUUCCUCUCCUUUCUGCUCUCACAGCAAUAGCCAUUAGAUGAUCUGUUACCCACUGGCUUCAAACUAUGCAGGGAUCCCUGUGAGGAAGGGCAGACAUUCCCACAGCAAUUCCAGGGGGCUUAGCAGAGCCUGCUCACUCUGAUGCUUUUCUUCAAGCUUUUCUCUCUUUCCCUUUGCUUGGUGCUCUUGCAGAGACAGCCUGCUCUUAGUACAUGUACUUAUUUCCAGCUUUUCCACUGGCAGCACAUAUUCAAUCAGAAUUUCCUAUUAGUUCAGCAACCCACAGCAAAAGUGAAGGCCAAUAUUACUGGAAUGUGAUAAUGGUCCUGUGCACAGGCUUUAAAAACUUGCUGUAGCAGUUUGCAUGCUGUUACCUAAAAUCUCUAAACUUUUAUGUACAGUCUAACCAAGAAGGAUGAUAAAUGCCUCCACCCUCAGGCUGGGAUGGAGAAACAUCUGUUAGGAAUAUAUUUGGGGGGUUGAGGGCAUGUAUUAGGUGACUUCUCAAGCACUAGUGUUCCUUCAGAGGGGAACAAAGGAGGGGCCAUGGUGUCAGUGUUUCUCUUCCCUCCUUGUAUGAUUGUGGCUGUUCCCAAUCUCUGUGCCAAGGAGAGGAGCCAUUCCCUCUACUCCUAUUGCACACCAGCUCCCAGCUUUUCUCCCUGCCCUGACUGAAGGUGCAAAUAAAUCCAAGCCCUCUCCUGAUUACGAAAGCCAGCCUUUCACCAGGGGACAGCAGUGUCAUGCUGCCUGCACAUUGCUGCUCCUUUGUGUCUGCUGGCACUUCCCCAAUUGCCCUGAUCUGUCUGAAGAACUGGUUGUGUUUGUCCAGCACUGCUCCUGUCCUCAGCAGAUCCUCUCCCUGUCACGGAGGAGUUUGGGCUGUUGUCCUCCUUCACUGCCCAGCUCUUCAGGCCGAGAGCAGCUGUGGGCUGGGAUGGUGAUGCACAGGCAUGCAGAGAUGUAGAAUUGGCUUGAGGAGCCUCCAGACAGGUGAGGCAGUCAGAGCCCUCUGUGAUGUCUGCCAGAGCCCUGCUGCCAGGAAGGAGCAGGGGCUUGGAAGGGCGAGUGAGUGGGAGCAGAGGAAUUGGGAAUAUCCUUUCAUGGAUUUAAUUUCAUGAGGAAGUUAAAGGCAGCAGUUUCUUAGCCAAAAUAGAGGACAGCACAAGAGAAGGCUGUGCAGGAUGCUCAAGGACACAGGAACCAAGUGUAGUUACCAUCCUGCUAAAACCAGCAGCAGGUACAGCCCCUCCUAGAUGUGUGCUGAGGUGGGCUGGUGGCAUUUCAGAGACCAGGGCAUGGCUGUGUGGGGCUACAGACAGGGCUGGGAACAUGGGCCCUGAUAGUUCUUGUGCUCUGAUAACUGUCCAUCCUAAGAAAAGACUGAGAUGGGAAAGGGAAUCCUGUAAGUAUUGGCAAAAAAUCUCUUCUGUGCUCGUACCCUGAGCCAUCUUGAUGUCAAUGUUGCUGUGUUCAGCUGUGGCUCUCUUGGAGUUUAGGGCUAUGUGAAUGCAGCAUGGUUUAUCUCAGGAGGAAAAAAUGCAUUAUUGUUAGCCUAUUAUUUAUCUUGUUAAUUAUAGUAACUGAUCCAGUAUUAACUUUGCACUGGAGCUGUAAGUUGUGAGUUUGCAGCUGGGGAAAAUCCUGACUCAAAGUCACAACGAUGUGAAACACUAAUAACUGGAUGAGGUUUUUAUUUCUUGAGAGAUCACCAGUGAUUUGAAUGGUGGUGACAAGUAACUGGUUCACCUGGCUGUGUUUGUGGAACAGCUGAAAAACUAAAGCUGUUCUAGAAAGUAAAGGGAUUUUCCCUUAAUGAAUAUUUUAGCGAUUCAUGUGUAAUUAUUUGAACUUUCUAAAUUGUAAAUUAUGCUGCUACAAAUUCAUCCUUUCUAGUUAUGCAGGAGCUUCAUGGUGUUUUAGAGUGCAUUAACUCCCUUGAAAAUCCCUCACUCAUUCCUGUGCAAUUUAUUCUCCUGUUCUCUGUAAUGAGUUAAUCUAUUUUGAAUGAAGUUGAGUUGCUUGCUGUAUGACUACACAAAAAGCUGCUUCCAGCUCCCACAUCAGCUGGCUGGCACAGCCCCACAGCCAUUUCCAGAGCGUUAUUGCUGCUUCGUGCUCAGUCUGCACAGGAGCUGAGGGUAGGUUUUACCUCUCUGGGAUUGCUGAGAGCAAAGACAGACAAACCUGAGAGUUUGUCUUGAGAGCUGUGCCAGAUUGAGGUGUACAAUUGCCUUUAAAAUCCUUGCUGGAUUUAGCAUUUACCAUUUCCCU
This is a long non-coding RNA of Passer domesticus (house sparrow), 4009 nucleotides long. RefSeq lists it as uncharacterized. The transcript has 5 exons. The record is from RefSeq and is a predicted model, not a curated record. NCBI's taxonomy places the organism in Eukaryota, Metazoa, Chordata, Aves, Passeriformes, Passeridae.